CGUGUAUGAAGAAGGCCUUCGGGUUGUAAAGUACUUUCAGCGGGGAGGAAGGGAGUAAGGUUAAUAACCUUGCUCAUUGACGUUACCCGCAGAAGAAGCACCGGCUAACUCCGUGCCAGCAGCCGCGGUAAUACGGAGGGUGCAAGCGUUAAUCGGAAUUACUGGGCGUAAAGCGCACGCAGGCGGUCUGUCAAGUCGGAUGUGAAAUCCCCGGGGCUCAACCUGGGAACUGCAUUCGAAACUGGCAGGCUAGAGUCUUGUAGAGGGGGGGUGGAAUUCCAGGU
Molecule: ribosomal RNA, 284 nt
Filed under: uncultured Enterobacteriaceae bacterium
Lineage: Bacteria; Pseudomonadati; Pseudomonadota; Gammaproteobacteria; Enterobacterales; Enterobacteriaceae
Description: partial 16S ribosomal RNA
Rfam family: Bacterial small subunit ribosomal RNA
Source: RNAcentral